GUUGUAGUUUGAAGAAGUGUUUUCCGCGGCGGCUGCAGUACAAAUCCUUUGGAACAGGGUAUCAGAGAGGGUGAGAAUCCCGUCUUUGACUGCAGACUAGUUGCACUGUGAUACACUUUCUAAGAGUCGAGUUGUUUGGGAAUGCAGCUCAAAAUGGGUGGUAAAUUUCAUCUAAAGCUAAAUAUUGGCAAGAGACCGAUAGCGAACAAGUACCGUGAGGGAAAGAUGAAAAGAACUUUGAAAAGAGAGUUAAAUAGUACGUGAAAUUGUUAAAAGGGAAACGCUUGAAGUCAGUGUUGCCGGCGGAAAAUCAGCUUCAGACUGGAGACUUGCGUGGGUGGAGGGAGUGUUAAAACCCCUUGCCUACGUACAGGCGCCUGGAUGGAGUGCACUUUUCAGUCGGCAGGUCAACAUCAAUUUCAGCCGGUGGAAAAAAGCUAGCGGAACGUAGGUUGGAGCAAUCUAACUGUUAUAGCCGCCUGCCAAUACACUGGGUGGGAUUGAGGACAGCAGUGCAGGCCAUUAUGGCGGAAGCUCAGUGUCAUUCUCCGGGGGGCAUGUCAAGACAGCUUGCUGACUUGGUGUGUACACUCUUGGGAACGAUGCGGAUGUA
RNAcentral lists this ribosomal RNA (613 nucleotides) under Basidiobolus ranarum. Its description in RNAcentral is "eukaryotic LSU rRNA". It matches the Rfam family "Eukaryotic large subunit ribosomal RNA", at positions 142 to 627 of the family's 3401-position model. The record is from RNAcentral. Lineage: Eukaryota; Fungi; Basidiobolomycota; Basidiobolomycetes; Basidiobolales; Basidiobolaceae.